RNAcentral lists this ribosomal RNA (539 nucleotides) under Fusarium incarnatum. RNAcentral describes it as "eukaryotic LSU rRNA". The stretch from base 170 to 323 matches the Rfam family "5.8S ribosomal RNA". The record is from RNAcentral. Lineage: Eukaryota; Fungi; Ascomycota; Sordariomycetes; Hypocreales; Nectriaceae.
GACCUGCGGAGGGAUCAUUACCGAGUUUACAACUCCCAAACCCCUGUGAACAUACCUAUACGUUGCCUCGGCGGAUCAGCCCGCGCCCCGUAAAAAGGGACGGCCCGCCCGAGGACCCCUAAACUCUGUUUUUAGUGGAACUUCUGAGUAAAACAAACAAAUAAAUCAAAACUUUCAACAACGGAUCUCUUGGUUCUGGCAUCGAUGAAGAACGCAGCAAAAUGCGAUAAGUAAUGUGAAUUGCAGAAUUCAGUGAAUCAUCGAAUCUUUGAACGCACAUUGCGCCCGCCAGUAUUCUGGCGGGCAUGCCUGUUCGAGCGUCAUUUCAACCCUCAAGCUCAGCUUGGUGUUGGGACUCGCGGUAACCCGCGUUCCCCAAAUCGAUUGGCGGUCACGUCGAGCUUCCAUAGCGUAGUAAUCAUACACCUCGUUACUGGUGAUCGUCGCGGCCACGCCGUAAAACCCCAACUUCUGAAUGUUGACCUCGGAUCAGGUAGGAAUACCCGCUGAACUUAAGCAUAUCAAUAAGCGGAGGAAAA